CCCUUAGAUGUCCUGGGCCGCACGCGCGCUACACUGACAUGUUCAACAAGCCUCCUAGUUCGACAGGAUUUGGGAAAUCUUUGAACGCAUGUCGUGAUAGGGAUAGAUCAUUGCAAUUAUUGAUCUUGAACGAGGAAUUCCUAGUAAACGCGAGUCAUCAGCUCGCAUUGAUUACGUCCCUGCCCUUUGUACACACCGCCCGUCGCACCUACCGAUUGAAUGUUCCGGUGAGCUCUUCGGACUGCGCGGUCUGCAGUUUCUGCGUUCCGUGCGGAAAGUUGCGCAAACCUUAACAUUUAGAGGAAGGAGAAGUCGUAACA
RNAcentral lists this ribosomal RNA (320 nucleotides) under uncultured eukaryote. RNAcentral's name for it is "partial 18S ribosomal RNA". It matches the Rfam family "Eukaryotic small subunit ribosomal RNA", at positions 1470 to 1796 of the family's 1831-position model. The record is from RNAcentral.